Molecule: unclassified non-coding RNA, 430 nt
Filed under: soil metagenome
Description: partial contains 5.8S ribosomal RNA, internal transcribed spacer 2, and large subunit ribosomal RNA
Rfam family: 5.8S ribosomal RNA (bases 1-120)
Source: RNAcentral
GAUGAAGAACGUAGCGAAAUGCGAUACGUAAUGUGAGUUGCAGAAUUCAGUGAAUCAUCGAAUCUUUGAACGCAUAUUGCGCUCUCUGGUAUUCCGGAGAGCAUGCUUGUUUGAGUAUCAGUAAACACCUCAACUCCCUUUUCUUUUUUGAAAUUGGAGCUGGACUUGAGUGAUCCCAACGCUUUCUUCCAAGAAAGUGGCGGGUUGCUUGAAAUGCAGGUGCAGCUGAACUUUUCUCUGAGCUAUAAGCAUAUCUAUUUAGUCUGCCUAAAAAACAGAUUAUUACCUUUGCUGCAGCUAACAUAAAGGAGACUAGUUCUUGUGCUGACUGAUGCAGGAUUCACAGAGACAGCUUCGGCUGACUUUGUAAACUCGAUCUCAAAUCAAGUAAGACUACCCGCUGAACUUAAGCAUAUCAAUAAGCGGAGGA